This 317-nucleotide ribosomal RNA is filed under the name uncultured eukaryote. RNAcentral describes it as "partial 18S ribosomal RNA". It matches the Rfam family "Eukaryotic small subunit ribosomal RNA", at positions 1470 to 1796 of the family's 1831-position model. The record is from RNAcentral.
CCCUUAGACGUUCUGGGCCGCACGCGCGCUACACUGAUCGGUGCAACAAGCAUCCGUCCUUGGCCGACAGGCCCGGGCAAUCUUUGAACGCCGGUCGUGAUGGGGAUAGACCUUUGCAAUUUUUGGUCUUCAACGAGGAAUUCCUAGUAAACGCAAGUCAUCAACUUGCAUUGAUUACGUCCCUGCCCUUUGUACACACCGCCCGUCGCACCUACCGAUUGAAUGGUCCGGUGAAACCUCCGGAUUGGCGCGUGCCCUCGGGCGCCGCCGAGAAGUUGGUUAAACCUUACCAUUUAGAGGAAGGUGAAGUCGUANCA